This 497-nucleotide ribosomal RNA is filed under the name uncultured bacterium. Its description in RNAcentral is "partial 16S ribosomal RNA". It matches the Rfam family "Bacterial small subunit ribosomal RNA", at positions 28 to 507 of the family's 1533-position model. The record is from RNAcentral.
GAUGAACGCUGGCGGCGUGCCUAAUACAUGCAAGUCGAGCGGACAGACGAGGAGCUUGCUCCUCUGACGUUAGCGGCAGACGGGUGAGUAACACGUGUAUAACCUACCUAUAAGACUGGGAUAACUUCGGGAAACCGGCGCUAAUACCGUAUAACAUGUUGAACCGCAUGGUUCAACAGUGAAAGAUGGUCUUGCUGUCACGUAUAGAUGGAUCCGCGCCGCAUUAGCUAGUUGGUAAGGUAACGGCUUACCAAGGCAACGAUGCGUAGCCGACCUGAGAGGCUGAUCGGCGACACUGGAACUGAGACACGGUCCAGACUACUACGGGAGGCAGCAGUAGGGAAUCUGCCGCAAUAGGGGAGAGCCUGACGGAGCAACGCCGCGUGAGUGAAGAAGGUCUUCGGAUCGUAAAACUCUGUUAUGAGGGAAGAACCAAUGUGUAAGUAAAUAUGCACGUCUUGACGGUACCUAAUCAGAAAGCAACGGCUAACUACGUG